RNAcentral lists this non-coding RNA (27 nucleotides) under Mus musculus (house mouse). The record is from RNAcentral. Lineage: Eukaryota; Metazoa; Chordata; Mammalia; Rodentia; Muridae.
UGUACACAUCGCGCCUCGACCUCAACC